GGUGGUUCUCGGGUGAUGCACCCUGGAUUCGGGCUCCUUCCUCUCUUGUUCUGGGUGCAUCACCCAAGAACCGCA
Molecule: non-coding RNA, 75 nt
Organism: Myotis brandtii (Brandt's bat)
Lineage: Eukaryota; Metazoa; Chordata; Mammalia; Chiroptera; Vespertilionidae
Source: Rfam